Molecule: ribosomal RNA, 490 nt
Filed under: uncultured bacterium
Lineage: Bacteria
Description: partial 16S ribosomal RNA
Rfam family: Bacterial small subunit ribosomal RNA
Source: RNAcentral
AUUGAACGCUGGCGGCAGGCUUAACACAUGCCAGUCGAGCGGUAGCACAGGGGAGCUUGCUCCCUGGGUGACGAGCGGCGGACGGGUGAGUAAUGUCUGGGAAACUGCCUGAUGGAGGGGGAUAACUACUGGAAACGGUAGCUAAUACCGCAUAACGUCGCAAGACCAAAGAGGGGGACCUUCGGGCCUCUUGCCAUCAGAUGUGCCCAGAUGGGAUUAGCUAGUAGGUGGGGUAAUGGCUCACCUAGGCGACGAUCCCUAGCUGGUCUGAGAGGAUGACCAGCCACACUGGAACUGGGACACGGUCCAGACUCCUACGGGAGGCAGCAGUGGGGAAUAUUGCACAAUGGGCGCAAGCCUGAUGCAGCCAUGCCGCGUGUGUGAAGAAGGCCUUCGGGUUGUAAAGCACUUUCAGCGAGGAGGAAGGUGGUGAGCUUAAUACGUUCAUCAAUUGACGUUACUCGCAGAAGAAGCACCGGCUAACUCCGUG